RNAcentral lists this signal recognition particle RNA (99 nucleotides) under Deferribacteraceae bacterium. RNAcentral's name for it is "signal recognition particle sRNA small type". It matches the Rfam family "Bacterial small signal recognition particle RNA". From Rfam's summary of the family: The signal recognition particle (SRP) is a universally conserved ribonucleoprotein involved in the co-translational targeting of proteins to membranes. Archaeal SRP consists of a 7S RNA and homologues of the eukaryotic SRP19 and SRP54 proteins. In most bacteria, the SRP consists of a 4.5S RNA and the Ffh protein (a homologue of the eukaryotic SRP54 protein). The record is from RNAcentral. Lineage: Bacteria; Pseudomonadati; Deferribacterota; Deferribacteres; Deferribacterales; Deferribacteraceae.
UGACAGGGUCUCUGCAGCGAGCUGCGGGUGAACCCCGCCAGGGUCGGAAGGCAGCAACGGUAAUUCGUUUGCUCGGGUGCCAGAGCAGCUCUGUCCAGC